RNAcentral lists this ribosomal RNA (253 nucleotides) under uncultured bacterium. RNAcentral describes it as "partial 16S ribosomal RNA". It matches the Rfam family "Bacterial small subunit ribosomal RNA", at positions 524 to 776 of the family's 1533-position model. The record is from RNAcentral.
UACGAAGGGGGGCUAGCGUUGUUCGGAUUUACUGGGCGUAAAGCGCACGUAGGCGGUUUGUUAAGUGAGAGGUGAAAUCCCAGAGCUCAACUCUGGAACUGCCUUUCAUACUGGCAAGCUAGAGUCCGGAAGAGGUAAGUGGAACUCCUAGUGUAGAGGUGGAAUUCGUAGAUAUUAGGAAGAACACCAGUGGCGAAGGCGGCUUACUGGUCCGGAACUGACGCUGAGGUGCGAAGCGUGGGGAGCAAACAGG